CAGCCGCCGCGGGAAUACGUAGGGUGCGAGCGUUAAUCGGAAUUACUGGGCGUAAAGCGUGCGCAGGCGGUUAUAUAAGACAGAUGUGAAAUCCCCGGGCUCAACCUGGGACCUGCAUUUGUGACUGUAUAGCUAGAGUACGGUAGAGGGGGAUGGAAUUCCGCGUGUAGCAGUGAAAUGCGUAGAGAUGUGGAGGAAUACCGAUGGCGAAGGCAGCCCCCUGGGCCAAUACUGACGCUCAUGCACGAAAGCGUGGGGAGCAAACAGGAUUAGAUACCCCAGUAGUCCCUGUCUCUUAUAC
Molecule: ribosomal RNA, 301 nt
Filed under: uncultured bacterium
Lineage: Bacteria
Description: partial 16S ribosomal RNA
Rfam family: Bacterial small subunit ribosomal RNA
Source: RNAcentral